CUUUGACCCUUUCCACCUAGUCUCCUGGAUGCACGCUAUGUUAACCCUUCUCUGCUGAAGAACCUUCACCAACUCAAUGGACUUACCCGUCAGAGUACCUAUGUUCCAAGACCCAAUCCUCAAUCUAUGGGCGUCCGCCGCCCUCUUCCCACCCUUACCUCCCGCCCUGCACGUAGUGCCACCCCCUGCUCCCUUACUCACCCCCGCUGCCACCCCCACCCCCUGAGGACAUGACCUUACGCUAUCAUCCCCCGCCGCGGCCACUAUCCCACCAACCGAUAUGGGGUACAGUGGCACAC
RNAcentral lists this long non-coding RNA (299 nucleotides) under Nicotiana benthamiana. Its description in RNAcentral is "long non-coding RNA (NBEN_LNC021306)". Lineage: Eukaryota; Viridiplantae; Streptophyta; Magnoliopsida; Solanales; Solanaceae. The record is from RNAcentral.